RNAcentral lists this long non-coding RNA (1188 nucleotides) under Monodelphis domestica (gray short-tailed opossum). RNAcentral's name for it is "lncRNA (ENSMODG00000036049.2)". The record is from RNAcentral. Lineage: Eukaryota; Metazoa; Chordata; Mammalia; Didelphimorphia; Didelphidae.
GAAAACAGGCGUGGAUAAUAGCAUGUCAAUACCAGGAGAAAAAAAGCCUAUUACAUUAAUUGAGGGAAACGAGAAGAAGUCAGGCAUCCCUAUUCCCUGAGACACAACAAAAUUGAAAUUAAGCCAAUUAAUAAACCUACAAUGGCCUCUAAGUGUUCCAAGUAAAAGGAAGAGUCAAUCGAUGUGGCAAACUUCAUUACUGUCUUGUUUUAAGAAAUUGCCACAGACACCCUAACCUUCAGCAACCACCACCCGAUCAGUCAGCAGCCAUCACCACUGAGGCAAGAUCUUCCACUAGCAGAGAUCUGAAGGUGGAGAUAAUGCAACAGUCUUCGCCAUGCCUCACCUUACCAUUCUCCAGAAAUAGGAAAUGUAACUACUCCCAUCAGUCUCUAUGGGGACCAGGACUCCAUCUAUCCUUGUCCCUAUUAUAGGAAGAAUUUGUAGAAAAGCUAAGGAUCCUUGCCCUCACUGAAAAAAUCCAGUAAUAUUCCACCUGAAGAAAGUACAAUAACUACAGUCUAGUCAGUGGCGUAAAGAGGAAAAGAGAUGACAGCUUUCCACUGAAGAGUGUGUCCAAGACACUGGGAGAUCUAACCAGAAGAGAUACCAUGCCUUGAGAAAAACAUAGUGACCAAGGAUCCUGCUUGGCUCAGGUGGCAGCUGUGGUGCUUGAUGAAGAGUUAUAAAAGCUAACAAUUGCCAGGCUCACCUCAGCUUAGCAGCAGAUUGGCUUGUUUAGCAGAGACACCGAAAGCUAGAAGAAUGAGUAAACCUAGUUGAGUUGCCAGGUUGGUACAGACACUGUGCUCUGCAAAGAACUAUCUAGGCUGACAGCAAUGGGACUAUUAUUUGUUGGUAACCUCUGAAAAGCAAAAGUGACAUGGGCACUGUACCCCCAGAAACCCAGGCAAACUAUUAUCAGGGAAACUCCAUUGCCCUUGCAUCCUUGUGACUCUUAACCUAGAAACACCCAAUGACCCCACCCAGGGUCCUGAGAUGUUUAUCCUCUUUUGUCCUCUAGAUUUAAGGUGGACAAGGAAAUGAAUCUUUAUGCCUCCAGGCAGACCCCAGUCAGAUGACCACCUCACCCCACCAAAUGCCUGAGGGACUAACACUCACUCUGGUCUUGUCCACACCAGGACCUAGCAUUUAAAGUGGAUAUAAACCCCAGAACUGAUGUAGUCU